UAGCAUGUGGGAACGAUAACGCGCCAUAUUCGUGAGGAGAAUACCUAGAGCGUAAAAAUCACUUUUAUUAUUUAUACAGAUACGUUUUGGUUGUAUUCUUACUCUGUCUUCUAGCUUUAGCAUAGAUGAUUUUGGACUAGGAGUAGAUUUUGAGGUAAAUAUGUUUGAGGUUUUAGUUGCAAGGGCCAUCUUCUGUUGAUUGUAAAUAUUCAGGCAGGCCAGUUUGUUACAUGCUCAGAGUUAAUGUAACCAUUUGUUUGCAGAGAAAAUGAACAAAACCCCAUUUUGAUAAAUGCAUUUGGUAAAUUUGCACUAAAGUUUCUUGAUGCUGCAUUGAUCAACAGCCAUUAAGAAAUCUCCUGAUCAGAGACUUUGAACAUUUUUCUGUGUACUGAAAAGUACCUCUCUUCUGAUCUUGGAAUACUUUGAUCAAACAAUAGUUUUUCCUCCUAUUAAGAUUUACACAUCUUUUGUACUUGCUAAUCUACCUACUUUACGUCUGCCAAAAAAUACAGUUUAGACUUAAAAUAUUUUCCAGAACUAUGACUAUCAUAAAUGAGAAACAAAGACAUCGAGGCCAGCAAUUCUUGGUGUGUUAAGCAGCAGUCUGAAAUAGAGCAGCUACAGUCUCUCGGAGCCUGCCUUGAUCACAUUCAUUUAUUCGUUCAACACAUUUUUCUAGGGUCCAGGACCCACUGUUUAUACUAAACACUGUUCUAAGUGUUCAACCCAGAAUGUAUUCUGCUCCGAGACAAAACGAGUGUAGAAAUUCAGGAGUGUAAAUCCCGCCAGCCAGACUGGAUCUGAGGAAUUACCAGCAUAAAUGUCUGCAUGUCUGCUGAAGCCACGUGUUUCCUGAGGGUGGAGGCUGCAGCAGGAGUGAAAGAAAAGCUUUUUCGUCUUCCCAGGCACCAUUUCAUCUUUGGUCACCACUCCCGGGACCAGCAAAGGGUUGUACAGCGUGCUGCUGGGUCUCUCCCUAGAGCGGCUUUCCCGACGGUGAAGCUCUUCGUUUUAAAGUCUUUGCCAUUUGGGUGAGCUGGGAAUUUCCAAGUUCCUAAGUCCUGUCUUUUUUUAACAGCCCUUCCCUCUGCUUAGCUAUUUCCUCUCCCAUCUUCCUGUAAUCGGUGAGAAGAAAGCAGGCUGCACCUCUUGCACUUGGCUCAGAAGUCUCUUCAGCUGGCCAUCUGAAGUUUCUCUCCUGUGCUGUGUGCUUCCGGCCCCGC
RNAcentral lists this long non-coding RNA (1226 nucleotides) under Catagonus wagneri (Chacoan peccary). RNAcentral describes it as "lncRNA (ENSCWAG00000009074.1)". Lineage: Eukaryota; Metazoa; Chordata; Mammalia; Artiodactyla; Tayassuidae. The record is from RNAcentral.